Molecule: long non-coding RNA, 4281 nt
Filed under: Sus scrofa (pig)
Lineage: Eukaryota; Metazoa; Chordata; Mammalia; Artiodactyla; Suidae
Description: lncRNA (ENSSSCG00000061594.1)
Source: RNAcentral
ACUCGGGAAAAACAACUGAUCUAAGGAUCACACUUUGAAUGUGCCUGGCUUCAAAGACAUUUUUUGGGGGAAAUUCCGAGUUCUCAUGCAGGCUUCAAGUCCAGAGAUCCAUGUUAGCAGGACACCAAGAUAUGUGGUGGCAAAAUCUCUUGGGAAUCUUAUUUCUUAAAUGCAGGAACAUAUGCAAACAAGAUGAUCAGAAAUCUAGCAGCCACCUUUGGUCAAAUAGCCAAAAAGACAAAAAGCCAAAAAAAAAAAAAAAAAAAGAAAAAGAAAGAAAGAAAAAGCAUUGCAGCAGACAUCCUAAAUUCCUUAGCCCACAUAAUAAUAGAUAAAAGGGUUACCUGUAAUUUUUCUACUGACUAAAGAAGGAGGUAUUGGUGCUAAUAUUCACACUAUUUGUUGCACUUACGUCAUUACCCUUGGAGAGGUUUAGACAUGCUUAGGAAAAAACUUCUCAAAAGACACAACGGGCUCUAAGAUGUAACUUGUAACAUCUUGCUCCUUGACAGAAGGGAAGCUCUAGCCAAGACUGAAGUUCCUGCUACCAAGAGACAAUUGGGAUUCCCAGGAAUAGUGAUUUUCUGCUGCAUUUGGAUUCAUAGCAAAACCCCCUUAUGAAGCUCUUAAGGCAGGAGACUGUGAACCUCUAGAUUGGACUAAGGAAUGCUAUAAGGCACUCCAGGUUAUCAAAGAAAAACUGAUAACUGCUCUAGCUUUAUUUAUUUAUUUUUGGUCUGGUCAGCAGCAUGCAAAAGUUCCUGGGCCAGAGAUUGAACCCGUGCCACAGCGGUUAAAGAUCCAAUGAUAGAUCUUUAACUCCCAGGCCACCAUGGAACUCCUGCCCUGGUUUUAGGUCUUGCAUGUAUCAGAAAGCCUUCUGACUUACUUGUUCAUGAGAUGCAAGGAAUCAGCCUUGGAGCUGUAGCUCAGAACCUGGGUAGCCUAAGGAGGCCUGUUUCAUAUUUCUCAAAGCCAGUAGGUACACUUGCUAAGGGAUGGCCAGUCUGCCUUCAAGCUGUAGUGACUUCUGUGAUCUUUUACAAGAAAUGGAGAAAUUUAUACUAGGACCACCUAUGACUGUGCACCUCACUGUAUUCUCCCCAGCCCACCCUGAACAAAAGAGCAAAUGUGGGUUAACUUCAGGAAGAUUGGGAAAAUAUCAGGCUUAUAUUAUUGGAUAAUUCUACUGUUACUCUAAAAGCAGUCUCUGCCUUGAAUCUUGCCCCUUUGCUCCGGAUGGAUACUAAAGUGCCUAUACAUGGUGGUAUUCGGAUAAUCAAACAGGUCUAUUCCAGCCAUUCAACCUGAUGGAUUGGCCUUUGGAAGACCCUUUUCCAGACCUUGAGGUGUUCAUAAACAGGAGUAGCUUUAUGGACCAGGAAUGACACAAGCCUGGGUAGAUGAUGGUGACUGAUCAAGACACUGGAAGCAGAAGCCCUUCCACCAGGUACCUCCACACAAAAGGCGGAACUUAAAGCCCCACCAAAGCCCUCUCUCAAGAUAAGGGUAAGAGUAAUUAUUUUCACUGAUUGUGAAUUUACUUUAUUGGUGGUCCAUUCCUGUGGGACCUUUGGAAGAAAGAAGACUUUUCAAUGCAGGGAAGAAGGAAAUUAAACAUGCCAAAGAAAUUUUAAACUUAUUAGAAACUAUCAUGGAGCAAAAAGAAUUGGCUAUUGUUUGCUGUCCCGGAUGUCAGAAAUUGACUGCUUAAGGGAAUAAUCCAGCAGAUUAAAUGGCAAAGCUAGCAGCCAUGACUAAAACACAUAGAUCUGCGAUUUGACAAGAGGCUAUCCAGAGUAUUCUCCUGAAGAUUUAGAAAAUGCCAGUGAAUGGGGAUUGAUGGGCAUCCUGGCCAUUUUCAGGAUGACAACUUAGAAGUAUACCAAGGAGGGGUAGAUUUAUAAUAGAUGAGGCAAAGUCCUUUUAUCUGAACAGCUUGUGGAAGAUGUAAUAAACUGUAAACACCAGAGUACCCACUAUGGGAGAAAUGCCACCCUCCAGUGGAUUCAUAAGUUCAUUUUAGGACAAGAAAUGCAAAGGAUAAUUCAAAAGAUGAUACAGAAAUGCAUCGAUGGGCUAAAAAUAAUCCUAAUACUGAGCUGCCAAAGGAAUGGACCCAGCAGAAGACUGGCAGGUGGUACUGCGAUGCCAGGAGCCACUAGAAAUCUUGAGUGCUUACAAGUAUUUGUGGACACUUGUCCUGGUUGAGGCAGAAGCAUUCCUUUAUCGGACUGAAAAAAGCUUCUGAGGUUGUUAAUGGCCCACCAAAGGAAACAAUUCUGAGGUUUGGGUUACCUGUAUCCAUACCAAGUAACAAUUGGAGAUUCUUUUUAGCAAGAAUGACUCGAGAAGUACCUAGAGCCUUAAACCUUCAUCAGAAAUUACAUACUUCUUGGUGAUCCCAAUCUACUGGCAAAAUGGAAAAGAUGAAUCAUACUCUUAAAAAGGAUGUAGCUAAAAUAUGUCAGUCUAAUUUAACCUGGGAUAAGGCCUUACUGGUUGCCCUGCUUCAAGUGAAGAUGGCUCAUAGAAGCUCCAGUUGAGCCCCUAUAAAAUUCUGUAUGGGAGACCCUUCUAUUUUUCAGAAAUGGUUUAGGAAAUCCAGAAGAAACUCAAGGAACUAGACACUGUCAAGUAUGUACAAUCACAGAGACCCACUCUAACUGCUGCAAUUUGCUUCUAGCAGGUUGGUAUUUCUCAUGGAUAUGCCCCUCCACCACUUCUGUCCUAGAAACUGGGUCUUGCUAAAAUCUUGGGAGAGAAAAACAUCCAGAAGACCACCUUCAUCCCUGUUGGACUGGACCUUAUGAGGUGCUAUUCGUGACCCAUUCCUUGGUGAAGAUGAAGGGAAUUAAGCCACAGAUUCAUCGCACUUGAGUUAAGCCGGUCUAGCAGAGAUCAGCCUAGACAAGAAUGCAACAGGAAAGGGAAACCAUGCUGCAGAACAGAACCAGAAUUGAGAACAUCCAAACCUUGGCUUCUUCUGCACCCCUGAUACUGACUUUCCUGAGUGGAAAAGUGAAGCCCUUAAAUGCUUUCCAGGAGGAAGACUCAAAAGAAAUUGAGGUGAAGAGAAUUGCUGUGGUGGUGACGUUGGUAAACUCAUUGCAAAGCAAUCUAAGUAACUCCUUAGGUUACUACAAUGACUAUUCUUUUUUUUUUUUUUUUUUUUUUUUUUUUUUUUUUUUUUUUUUUUUGUUAAGCUUUCUCUUUGUUUCUAACCUCCCAGGCUUGGAAAGACUCUCAGUGACAGGGAUUUCUCAGACUUUGGCCAAAGUAGGUAAUCUCUCUAGCUGUUGGAUAAAUUAUCCAAAACCUUUUCCUGUGUUUGAUCUUGCUGCCCCCUUGGUUGUGCUGUGAUCAGUUUCCUGGUGGUCCAUAACUUCACUGUGAUUUAGGAUAAAAAGUCCUCAGAACACACCAGGUUAGGCUAAUCGGAGAAUUUCCUGCCCCUUGUUUUCUCUUGACUAAGCCCAAAUUUGGUCCUCUCCUCAUAUCCUCAGACUAAAAUGGAAAUGACCCUGGCAUCUAUCUACCUCUGUCAAAGUUGUGCUUGGUCAAGAUACUGUAGAAACAGCUAUUAUUUUUCCCAGCCUAUGUCCGUUCCAUGUUUAAUACUUAGAUGUUUCAGCCAGACUGAUCGCGAUUGAGACACUCUUAGGUUGUUUUACCUUUCCACGUAUUAAACAUACUCUUAAGGGCCACCCAUACCUCUGCUGACUUGCAAAUCAAACAGCUCUGGAUGUUGCCUUAUACCUAAUCCUGACUUGACCAUGGCCUAGAUACAUUCCCUAAAAAUAAGAGCCUAAGUUCUAACAAUAUGUCUGGCAUUCUGGGUGCCCCCUCAGGGUACAUCUUUGAAGUUUUUUUUUUUUUUUUUUUUUUUUUUUGUCUUUUAGGGUCACAGCCAUGGCAUAUGGAGGUUCCCAGGCUAGGGGUAUAAUCGGAGCUAUAGCCACCGGCCUACACCAGAGCCACAGCAACAAGGGAUCUGAGCUGUGUCUGUGACCUACACCACAGCUCAUGGCAAUGCCGGAUCCUUAACCCACUGAACGAGGUCAGGGAUCGAACCUGCAACCUCAUGGUUCCUAGUUGGAUUCGUUAAUCACUGAGCCACGACGGGAACUCCUGUCUGCAGUUUUGAUCACCAAUCACCAAUUUUGGGCCUGUGAGCGCCUGAACUGGUGGUAUCUGUUGGGACACUUAGUCACAUCCUUUUUCGUACACAAUCCAAACGAGGCCUGGCAGUGGACCAGUUCUUUAAAAUUGUUCUCUAGG